RNAcentral lists this long non-coding RNA (539 nucleotides) under Lathyrus oleraceus (garden pea). RNAcentral's name for it is "Pisum sativum (pea) long non-coding RNA (PSAT_LNC010085)". Lineage: Eukaryota; Viridiplantae; Streptophyta; Magnoliopsida; Fabales; Fabaceae. The record is from RNAcentral.
GACAUUCCUCCUUCAACCAUCAGAACCUCACAACCUCUACCUGUUUUAAAAAUUGCACGUAAUUUCAUACCACCCUCUGAACCUAAACAACUAUAUCACCACAGCCCUUCCUCUUCAUCAUCCUCAGCACCAGAAUCACCCCCAUACAUUAGUGUUUCAUUAUCAUCAUCAGAACCUUCUGACCCUAAAUCCCCAACAAUAGCUGAAAUUUAUGCUAGAAAAUUCGCCCCACAAACUCAAACACAAUCUGAAGUAACCUCAACCCUCCGAACUUCUCUUCCACAACAAACAACCACCAUCUCCCUUGAAAAUCAAACUUCCCUUCCACCACAAACAACCACCAUACCCUCUGAAACUCAACCAUCUGAUCCCUUCACCUCUAAUAUCACUCCACCAAUUAUUCCCGCUGUACCUGGACCAGACUCUGACCCAUUAGACCUAAACCCACUCUAUGCUUCAUCCCCCAGUCUUCAACCAGAACCAGAUUCUGAACUUCAAGCAGAAUCUGAACCUCAACCAGAAUCAGAAACUGAACCUCC